UUGGUGAACCAGCGGAGGGGAUCAUUACUGAGUUUACGCUCUACAACCCUUUGUGAACAUACCUAUAACUGUUGCUUCGGCGGGUAGGGUCUCCGCGACACUCCCGGCCUCCCGCCCCCGGGCGGGUCGGCGCCCGCCGGAGGAUAACCAAACUCUGAUGUAACGACGUUUCUUCUGAGUGGUACAAGCAAAUAAUCAAAACUUUUAACAACGGAUCUCUUGGUUCUGGCAUCGAUGAAGAACGCAGCGAAAUGCGAUAAGUAAUGUGAAUUGCAGAAUUCAGUGAAUCAUCGAAUCUUUGAACGCACAUUGCGCCCGCCAGCAUUCUGGCGGGCAUGCCUGUUCGAGCGUCAUUUCAACCCUCAAGCUCUGCUUGGUGUUGGGGCCCUACAGCUGAUGUAGGCCCUCAAAGGUAGUGGCGGACCCUCCCGGAGCCUCCUUUGCGUAGUAACUUUACGUCUCGCACUGGGAUCCGGAGGGACUCUUGCCGUAAAACCCCCAAUUCUUCCAAAGGUUGACCUCGGAUCAGGUAGGA
RNAcentral lists this ribosomal RNA (535 nucleotides) under Colletotrichum asianum. RNAcentral describes it as "eukaryotic LSU rRNA". The stretch from base 200 to 353 matches the Rfam family "5.8S ribosomal RNA". The record is from RNAcentral. Lineage: Eukaryota; Fungi; Ascomycota; Sordariomycetes; Glomerellales; Glomerellaceae.